GUGGGGAAUUUUGGACAAUGGGCGCAAGCCUGAUCCAGCAAUGCCGCGUGCAGGAAGAAGGCCUUCGGGUUGUAAACUGCUUUUGUACGGAACGAAACGGUCCUGGUUAAUACCUGGGGCUAAUGACGGUACCGUAAGAAUAAGCACCGGCUAACUACGUGCCAGCAGCCGCGGUAAUACGUAGGGUGCGAGCGUUAAUCGGAAUUACUGGGCGUAAAGCGUGCGCAGGCGGUGCUGUAAGACAGGCGUGAAAUCCCCGGGCUCAACCUGGGAAUUGCGCUUGUGACUGCAGUGCUGGAGUACGGCAGAGGGGGAUGGAAUUCCGCGUGUAGCAGUGAAAUGCGUAGAUAUGCGGAGGAACACCGAUGGCGAAGGCAGUCCCCUGGGCCUGUACUGACGCUCAUGCACGAAAGCGUGGGGAGCAAAAGGGAUUAGAUACCCCAGUAGUCC
This 450-nucleotide ribosomal RNA is filed under the name uncultured bacterium. Its description in RNAcentral is "partial 16S ribosomal RNA". It matches the Rfam family "Bacterial small subunit ribosomal RNA", at positions 354 to 796 of the family's 1533-position model. The record is from RNAcentral.